RNAcentral lists this ribosomal RNA (278 nucleotides) under uncultured Alcaligenaceae bacterium. Its description in RNAcentral is "partial 16S ribosomal RNA". It matches the Rfam family "Bacterial small subunit ribosomal RNA", at positions 1100 to 1382 of the family's 1533-position model. Lineage: Bacteria; Pseudomonadati; Pseudomonadota; Betaproteobacteria; Burkholderiales; Alcaligenaceae. The record is from RNAcentral.
AACCCUUGUCAUUAGUUGCUACCGAAAAGGGGCACUCUAAUGAAACUGCCGGUGACAAACCGGAGGAAGUGGGGAUGACGUCAAGUCCUCAUGGCCCUUAUGGGUAGGGCUUCACACGUCAUACAAUGGUCGGUACAGAGGGCUGCCAACCCGUAAGGGGGAGCCAAUCCUUUAAAACCGAUCGUAGUCCGGAUUGAGGUCUGCAACUCGACCUCAUGAAGUCGGAAUCGCUAGUAAUCGCGGAUCAGCAUGUCGCGGUGAAUACGUUCCCGGGUCUU